AUUCUUUUGUGGUUCAUAAAUGUGGUUCAUACAUGUUUUUGUGACAUGUUCCUCCUUCCCCCAAACCUUGUUAUAACAUUGGCAUAUUACCCAUCUGACG
Ochotona princeps (American pika) is the source of this 100-nucleotide small nucleolar RNA. The record is from Ensembl. Lineage: Eukaryota; Metazoa; Chordata; Mammalia; Lagomorpha; Ochotonidae.